This 8825-nucleotide long non-coding RNA is filed under the name Sorghum bicolor (sorghum). RNAcentral describes it as "long non-coding RNA (SBIC_LNC002677)". The record is from RNAcentral. Lineage: Eukaryota; Viridiplantae; Streptophyta; Magnoliopsida; Poales; Poaceae.
CUAUCUUGAAAAGAAAUUAAAAAUGUUAAAAAUAGUAAGCCCCAUGUGAGUAUGCUCGUCGCAUAAAACCCAUAAGUACAUUCACUAUGGUGGCGUAAAAAUAAAAUAAAUAUAUUCCUGUCCUAUAAAAAUGAAAAUAUAAAAAUAAGAUUGUGAUCCUACUAAAGAGGGUAACAUUUAUAGAGGAGGCUCAACAUGAUAAAGGCUAGAUAUUUAUGUUCCACAAAGUUUUGUUUUCUAUUUGAGCUCCACGGAAUUCAAGGAUCAAGAAACUAGCUGAAGGAGGACAUCCUAAUCGCUGUCGGGGUGCUGCCGACAUUUAAAUACACCUCCGCCACCUGCUAGCUACAUCAGAAAAAAUUACAUCAAAAUCCAGCUUGGCGGAGAGCACGCCCAUUUAUCCAGCUAAGUGUUUCUAUCUAUGUUUAUACUUAUACUUUGUUAAAAUAAUAAAAAGAUGCAUAAUCAUAAAAACCCAAAUAAAGAUUUUGUGCUUAUAUCUUUGCUUAGUUUGCAAAAUAAAUAAAUAAAGUGUCUAUGCUAAAUUGAACUCCAAUGAUAAACUCUUACAUGGAUAUGAUGAAAAGUUGCUCUGCCAAGUACAUAGUUUUCAAAUUUGAGCUCUCUCUCUCUCAAGUUUAGACAUAACUGUUAUAAUUUAAAAAUUGCUCUAAAUCUAAUCUUGUGGGAAGAUAACUUGAUAUAAAGUCUAAGUCGUUAAUGGAUAUGAUAUGGGAAGGUUGAGCUGCUAUUUAUCUGUUCCUAGAGAUGCUAGAAUUCUAGAGAAUUUUAUCUUUGAAAAUCUUUAAAAUAUUGCAUGAUGAGUUCUUGUAUGAUGAGAGUUUAAAAUCCUACCACAGCCAUAUAUACAUGCUUAUUAAACUAUGAACCAUACAUUUACUUUUUAUUGUUUAUGAGCAUUGAGUGUGAGAUUCACUUGCACGUUCACUCAUACAUGCUACUUCUACUCCGGAAGAACGCAUCCACAUACAUCCACUCAAUUCCAUCUCCAGAUUCACCUAAAAACUAUUAUACUACUAUCCGGGAGAGAAUAGCCAAAAACUUGUUCCUAUCCCUAUUAUUCCCUGUGAAAUAAAUACUCGAGUUAUCUUGGUUACUACCACUUGCUAUAUUAUUCUAGGAGGAUGAGUGCUCUGAAAAAAAUAUGAAUACGGGGAAAUAAAAAAGUGGCAAGUGCCCGAAACCUCGAAAAAAGAAAAAGUGAGAUGAGAGGUGAAAAUAGACAAGUGUCCGACAGUAGAAUUAGAGGUACAAGAUACCCACCUGAGAGAAAAGAAAAAAUAAAAUAUAGAGCAUCUCAUUCCCCUCAAAAGCCUCAAGUGCAAGGAAGGUAUAUACCCCCUCAGAAGAGCAAAAGUUGAAUUAGACUUUCACAAUUAUUUUCACCAUUAUCACCAUUCAUUCGCCACACAUGCACAUCUUGAUUUGACUUAUUGACAUGUUCUUCUGGAUCCAUGGUUUGACUAUGUAAUAAAUGUCUUGUAAGUACGUAUUAGCUAUCUCCCACCUAUGAGCUCCAGAUAUCAAAACAUUAUUAGAGUAGGGUGAGAGAAAAGGUAGUGUCACUAUGCCUCAUACCAAAAAUACCACAUAAUUUGAGAGAAGGCAUACACCAUUACUGCCUUAGUAAGGAUCCAGAAAUACCACAAAAGAGAGACUAGAGAGAGUCAUAGAAGGAAUCUCUGAGUUUUAUUUGAAAAUCUACAAAAAAAACUCCAGAGCUAUAGUUGAUCAAGAACAAGCGACAUGGCGCUUGACUUGACCAUUCUAUCCUUUAACUACUCAAGACACAAGUGAUGGUUACAAGCCCCAUGGUGGAAGGUAAUAUGAGUAAGUUUAAAUCUUAACAGUUUACCCUAACCCAGAGAAGAGAUCUUGUUUGAACGCAUGUGUAACUUUAAGGCAUGCAACCACUGUAGAAACUCUUGAGUCCAUCCUUGCUCAUGGACGAGCAAGAGGUGAGCUUGGGGGAGACAUUGGCGGUCCAUAAGUACCAAAUAUAAUCAUCAAAUAAAUUAAUAGAAGGAUCCAAAUGCAACCAACACCCAGACUUAGGGUUUUAUCUGAUAGAAUUCCACGAGUUUUGGUGUUUGUCUAUUUGUGGAGGGGGGUAUCAGGAAAUAUGGAGAAAAGGCCCAUACGUCGGGUUUACAUAGAGAUAUUAAUGUGUGUGCCAAUUUUCUAUCAUCUAGAAGAGUCCAGAAGCCACAGGAACAAACGGGAGGCCGAGCGGGCUGUUGACGGUCCUUAAUGCUCACAUUUAACCGUCAACUAAUCAUGGAAAAGGACCUAUAUACAACCAACAUCCAAAAUUAGGGUUUCAUCUGACAGAAUUCCAUGAGUUUUGGUGUUUGUCUAUUUUUGUAGGGGGUUAUCAGGAAACAUGGAGGAAAGGCCCACACGUCGGGUUUACAUAGAGAUAUUAACGUGUGUUCCAAUUUUCUAUCAUCUAGAAGACUCUAGAAGCCACGGGAACGAACGGGAGGCCAAGCGGGCCCGAGGGCUGGGCGCCCGCCCUACCCCCUUGGGCGCUCGCCCUGCCCUUGUGACCAAUCAGGGCAGGUCUCGUGGAUCGUGCUCCACCGCCUCUAAUCUUUAAGAAUAACCGUGCGAUUAAGGUCGGUUUGAUCCGACGGCCCAUAUUCAUUUGGAGGGGCUAUAUAAGCAGGCCCCCUGGCCCCUGGAGGCAUACCUCUUCUACAGAAUCAAAGCUAGGGUUUCAAUUAUUCAUACAAGUAGAGAGGAUCCCUCUAGUUCAUCUAGUUCUAGUUCUAGUUCAUCUAGUUCUAGUUCUAGUUCGUUUUAAUUGUAAUCUAGAAAAUAGGGAGAUAGGAGGAGAGCGGAGGAGGAGCCGGAUCUGUCGGAUCUUCCUCAAUAUUGUACUUUUGCAGCAACUGGUUCGUUCUUCAUCGUUCUCCAAGUUCUUCAAUUCUUAAUUCCUGAGUUCUUUAAUUACUUUUAUUUAAAUUCAAGUUAUUUAUUAGAUUCCCGCUUGUAUCAAGUGCUCUAGUCUUUGAAACGCUAGAGUAGUAAUUAAUAGAUUAGACGUGGUGUUUAGUCUUGCAAUUACCUGGAAUUGCACCCAAUCCUGCGGAUUGUUGUGGUAGCCCUAGGGUAGUGAUAGCCCUAACGGUCGACGUAUUCCACCUCGUUCGGAUCGGUGUUUGUAGGACCGUAGUUAGAGCUUCCUAGCCCCCUUAUCAUCUCUUUCCGUGGUUAGUGUUAUGAUGUCCCGAAAUAAAUAAUCUUUGAAGUAAUUCUUUAUUCUUAGAUCAAUUAGAGAAUUCUCAGGAAACUUCCUCUCUUCCCACCAAAAAUAAUUAUAUAGUUAUCCUUGGGUGAUUUUGAAUCUUAAUUAGUACACUCACGUUCCCUAUGGAAAAUGGAUACUCUGGAAUACUCCCAGGUGAAAGCUACAUCGGUAUCCGUGCGCUUGCGGAUUUUUUCUAUUUGCGUUUAAAAUAACCAACAAGCUUUCUGGCGCCGUUGCCGGGAACGAUAGUAGUGCUAGUUUCGAACCAAGUCGUCCGUGUAUCCUUUUUUUUCCUUUUUUACCACACUCACCUUACCAUUUUCACCAUACCACAUGGAUUUCACUCCAAUCAUUAAUGAGCAUGGAAUUUAUUUCAUAGCCACUUCGUUUACUCCAUGCUCAUAUGCAACAUCUUCCCAAUCUAUUGGUCUCUCCAACAUCACCACAUUCGAGAUCUCCAACCCCCUCUUCCUUUCUAUUUAUAAAAACUUUAAAAGGGCGAUUGUCAAUGCAUAUGUCUAUAAUAAAUAUUGCAGAUCUCGUUGAGUUGAUCUUGAUAUAGGUCAGCAUUGGAGGGGAAACCACUUCGCCGACAUAAAUUGAUGGUUUCCCAAGGACAAUCUUAAUGUCCUAAAAUAAGCAUUGAUCAGAUCGUAACAUGUGCUUUUAAUUAUUUGCAACAUUACCUUGUGUAUUGAGCAUAUAAGGAUAAUUGUAAAAAAUUCCUUCGGGUAUUCUUGUCACUAACCUUUCCGGGAUUGGAGCAAGAAGAUCGGAUGAAGGACAAGCACAAGGUAUGUCCAACCAAUCAUCAUACAACAUUGAAUUAAAUUUAUCCAAACUUGAAUUUUGCAAAAUUCAAGCUUGGGGGAGUACUUUAUAUAGAAACAUCCUUUGCCAUAUUGCUAUGUUGGUUGUCCCUACCUUUGAGACAUGCUCAAUUUGUUAAAUACUAAUCACACUACUUCAUCUCCAUUUGAGUAGAUCUCUAUAAAUGCUCUCAUGCUACCUUUAUUUGCUUUAGUAUAUGUCUAGGUUUGGAGUAGUUUUAUUUAUCUCUUAAUUUAAGCAUGGUGCUUAGUUUAGGAAUGAUGUUCUUUCUUCCAAGGGAUUUUAAAUUAAGCAUGGUGCUUAGGUUAAAAUGCCCUCCUAAAUCAAAUUAGACAUGGUGUCUAGGUUGAGUUUUGAGCCGAUAGUAUGCUAUAGUAGAUAUUGGAUAUUUUGUUGGACUAACGGCUGUAGGAAAACUUUCAAUAUUGACCUGGGAAGUCCUAAGAUAAACCCACAUUGGAGACAAAGAGUGACACAUGAAGUUUAACAAUUUACACAAGGAAGACAUAGCUCAUAAGAGAUGAUCCAUGGAGGGUGCAACAAACACGUUGCACAAUCGCUAAGAAAGGAAAGCUUCCACAAGGUGAUACUGUACCAUUACUCUUCAAGUAAGGUAACAUCUUAAGGUACUUGAUUAUCACUUUUAUAAGCUUCUCCUUGGUUCUGGCGUUCACAUGAAUAAAAGAGACAAACAUGUAUGAUUUACAACUCUAGAUUAACCAACCCAAUCGAUUCAAUAUGUUUAGUCCUUGCACCGUUGUGAUCCCACACUCCUAAUCAUAUGAGCUAAAAUGUUGCACACACAAUCUUUGGAAGAUAUAUAAAAAACACAUAAGUAUAGAUAGAUUAUCUUUCCAUUAGGUUGAGCGAUCUGAUCUAACAAAUGUUUUAAAUGCUACACUCAUGAUCUUAUUAUCCAUCAACUUUGUCUUGCUCACUAUGCUUAAGGAUAGAGAAGAACAAAUACACUUUUGGUUCUGUUGGUGUUUUCCACCAACAGGGCCCAUGCACUUGAUCUCUGCCUUGUCUCUAUGAGCAGGUAUACUUCGAGCAAAAUAUGGAGGAGUUGUACAACUCCCAGACUCCACCAAGUGAAGAACCUGGAUCUACGAGCACAAACACACUGAGCAGGAUGCUGCCAAUGCCGCACUUUGAACUGCUGGCCAAUCGAAGAACAUGGGUGACACCGUUGUUGGGCAUUUUAACGUCACUACCAAAAGUAGACUUAGUUUUCUAAUUCUGAUAACGGCGCCAAAAAUGCCAAACCUAUCUCUCAUGCCACUUAAGUCAAGUUGUCAUCCCCAGCAUGACAUAAGAGACGCGGUAUUGAAAUAUACAUUUGCUCUUCUAAAUAAAUAAUAAAUGAGAUCUGCAAGCGCACAGAUUAAUACCGAUGUAGCAUUUUAGCCAGGAAGUAUUCCAGGUAUCGUUAUUUAUAUUUUUACCACUGGGAAGGGAUUGCUAAACAUCAAUGUUGAUUAUGGAAUGGAAUAUAGAAUUGAGUAUCUAUCAUUGCAUGUAUAAUUGAGAGCAUCUAUCUAUCUCUUUCAUACAGGGAUAAAUGUCACAUAAAAGAUAGAUAAAAUAUGAAUGGUAACAAAGAUAAUUAAUCUGAUCAACAUAACUUAGCUACAUAUAAAUAUGAUAAGCACCUCAAUAGAUAUUCUAGCAAGUCAUUAGGAUCGAAUUAGGACGAACUACAAGAAUAUUUCCUAAGUUAUUCUUAACUAUAAAGUCUAGCAUAUGAUAGUUAGUGCAAUUAUACUUGGCAAUCAUUGCAAGACAGGACUACGCCCAUGAAUAGUAAUAUUUUCAAGGAAGAUGAGAAACAUAGGAAUCACUCCCCUGUAAUAAUAUUGCUCUGCCAGCCCUAUACACGAGAGGGGGACUAUAUAAGAAUCAAUGGAGCUGUCACUACCACGAACUAUCCCGCGAUCUGGCAUAUAGGGUACAAUCGCAGAUAAAUACGGUAUAGGCACCACACCUACACAAUACUUAUCAUUUACCCAUUGUACACAUGGAUAAACGCUAUACGAUCCUAAACAUGUAUAUAAUUCCAAUCUAACUAAGCCAAGCAUAUAAACUAGUUUAGCAUAACUAUGAUAAACUAAGAACAAUAUAAUUGCGAAUAUAAACAAGUAGAGCAAAGUCAUAAUCAAUAUAUUGAAGUAGAACAAAGUCAUAUUCAUAAUAUUGAAGAACAAUAGAGGAAUUACCAAGAAUCCUCUUGACAGAUCCGGAAACCAAUCGAAGAUUGACUCCUUCUAGUUCUAAUCCUAUGUAGCUAUGCUAAACUAUAGAUCUAUUGAUGUGGUGGUUCUAGGGCUUGAUCAGAGGCUUCUUCUCUCGAGAUGGAUAAUGAAUUAGGUUUUCUAAAGGAUAGAGGUCCUCUCCUCCAGGGGCCAGGGGGUCUGCUUAUAUAGUCCUUCCAAAUGAAUGUGGGUCGUCGGAUCAAACCGACAUUAAUCGCAUGGUUUUCCUUGAUCCUUUAGGUCGGUGGAGCAUGAUCAGCGAAGUUGAACUUAAUUGGUUCUCAGGCCUAGGCGCCGCCCAAGGGGGGAGGGCGGGCGCCUUGCCCCCGGGCCCAAUCGGCCUCCCAUUCGUUCCCGUGGCUUCUGGACUCUUCUAGAUGUUAGAUAAUUACACGGCACGUUAAUAUCUCUAUGUAAACCCGACAUGUGGGCCUUUCUUCCAUAAUUCCCAAUAACCCCCUGCAGAAAUAGACAAACACCAAAACUCAUAGAAUUCUGUCAGAUAGAACCCUAAGUCUGGAUGUCGGUUGCUUUUGGAUCCUUUUCUUUAUUUAUUUGCUUAUUAUAUUUGAUACUUAAGGACCGUCAACAACCGUAUCAAGAGGUGCAGACGUCAAGGUCCACACCUGAAUCAAAUGAUGCACCUAAAGAAUGAACAAGGUGAGAAGUUUUGUUUAGAAGACUUAAAACAUUGAACCCUCGCUGAAAGGUAAAAUCAGUAGUUAUCCAUAUUUAUCCUUUCUGCAUUCCCUUUUUCCUUAAAUUAUUCACUUUCCUUAAAUAGCUUGUUAGUUAAUCAUGCUAUCUUUAAAAGAAAUUAAAAAUGUUAAAAAUAGUAAGCCUCAUGUGAAUAUGCUCGUGGCAUAAAACCCAUAAGUACAUUCACUACGGUGGCGUAAAAAUAAAAAUAUUCCUGUCCUAUAAAAAUGAAAAUAUAAAAAUAAAAUUAUGAUCCUACCAAAGAGAGUAAUAUUUAUUAGAGGAAGCUCAACAUGAUAACGGCUAAGAGAUUUUAUGCUAACACUUAACCAGUUCCACAAAGCUUUGUUGUCUAUUUGAGCUCCACAGAAUUCAAGGAUCAAAAAAGACUAGCAGACGAAGGCAUCCUAAUCGCUGUCAGGGUGCUGCCGACAUUCAAAUACACCUCCGCCACCUGCUAGCUACAUCAAAAGAAAUUACGUCAAAAUCCAGCUUGGGGGAAAGCACCCUCAUUUAUCCACCUAAAUGUUCCACUCACGUUUAUACUUUACUCAAAUAAUAAAAAUAUGCAUAAUCAUAAAAGCCCAAAUAAAGAUUUUGUGCUUAUAUAUAUCUUUGCUUAGUUUACUAAAUAAAUAAAUAAAUAAAUAAAGUUUGCUAUGAACCAUCAUGAUAAUCUCUCAAAUGGAAAUGAUGAAUAGUUGCUCUGCCAUGACUAGUUCUCAAAAUUGAAAUCGCUCUCAAGUUUAGGCAUGACUGUUAUUAAUUAAGAUUUGCUCUCAAGCCUGAACUUGUGGGAAGAGUACUUGAUCUAAAGUCUAAGUCGUUAACGGAUACGAUAUGGGAAUGUUGAGCUGUUGUUUAUCUGUUCCUAGAGAUGCUAGGAUUCUAGAGAAUUUUAUCUUUGAAAAUCUUUAAAAUAUUGCAUGAUGAGUUCCUAUAUGAUCAGAGUUUAAAAUCCUACCACAGCCAUAUAUACAUGCUUAUUAGACUAUGAAACAUACAUUUCCUUUUUACUGCUUAUGAGCAUUGAGUGUGGUCAAACUGUGUAGACCCUUAGGAGCUUGUCAUGCGGUUAAAAUCAAGAUUCACUUGCACGUUCACUCAUACAUGCUGCUUCUACUCCGGAAGUAUGCAUCCACAAACAUCCACUCAUUUCCAUAUCCAGAUUCACCCAAAAUUAUUCUACUCCUAUCUAGGAGAGAAUAGCCAAAAACAUUAUCCUAUCCCUGUUAUUCCCCGUGAAAUAAAUGUUCGAGAUAUUUUAGUUACUACCACUUGCUACAUUAUUCCAGGAGGGUGAGUGCUCUGAAAAAAAGUGAAUACGAGGAAAUAAAAAGGGGCAAGUGCCUGAAACCUCGAGAAACAAAAAGUGAGAUGAGAGGUAAAAAUGGACAAGAGUCCGACAGUAGAAUUAGUGGUACAAGAUACCCAACUGAGAGAAAAGAAAAAUAAAAUAUAGAGAAUCUCAUUCCCCUCAAAAGCCUCAAGUGCAAGGAAGGUAUGUACCCCCUCAAAAGAGCAAAAGUAGAAUUAGACUUUCACCAUUAUUUUCACCAUUAUCACAAUUCAUUCGCCACACAUGCACAUCUUGAUUUGACUUAUUGACCUGUUCUUCUGGAUCCAUGGUUUGACUAUGCAAUAAAUAUCUUGUAAGUAAGUAUUAGCUGUCUCCCACCUAUGAGCUCCAAAUAUCAAAACCUUAUUAGAGUAGGGUGAGAGAGAAGGCAUUGCCACUAUGCCUCAUACCAAAAAUACCACAUACUUUG